CAUCUCACCCCCUAAAAAAUGGUAAAAGUUACAAAAGGGACGUAAAAAAAAAAAAAAAUCCAAAGUGGUUUCCUUCCUUUCUAAACCUUGUGAAAUUUGCCUGAUUUUUUAUCCCUCGCCUUUCUCUCUCUCUCUUUUUCUCCUCCAUCCAUCUGAUCUUGUAAUAACCACAUUCCUCUCUAAUCAAAAGCUUUUCUCUCCUCCCCAUCCUCCGCGCCAGGCUCUUCCCCUCGUUAGUUGCCCAUCGUGUGUUUCAACACGAGCGUGAUCCUAUUAAGAGUCAUCUUGGGACUGUUACUUGUUAAACCAAACCAACCUUGAGUCGCCUUUUGGAGCCUGUAAAACACUGUCGCCCGCCUGUGUUUUCUGUUUUGUUUAAUCUCACACUUAUCUCUGAGAAAAAUCACCCGACAACAAAAAAAAAGGUUACUUAACACUGAACCAAUUAGGUGAAAUCAUCGUCAAGCGGCGGGAGGAAGAAGCAGAGCGUUCUGCCAGUUUUCCUCUCAGAGAGUGACAUGGGUGAAUUAAAGGAGUGAUUGAUGUCUUUGUUCAGGCUUUUAUGACAAAAAGAGUUUUGUAAACUUGAAUUGAACUUCCCCCUGCUCUCUGAGCUUGCUUGUCAGGCAGGAUAAUAAAUCAGCAGGAUUUUAAUGGAUGAAUGGGCAGCUAAGCUGGGGAGCAGGCUCCUUCCCCGGUGUUGUUAAGAUCUGCCUCUGAUUCCGCAGGUUUCCUCACUUUUCCUCCUCUUUAGCCCAACAAAUCAUCCUGCAGCAAUUCAGUUUAUAAAUAAACACAAUAGCACACUCCCUGUUGCUUCCUCUGGCUGUCACGGGCAGUAUUUAUGCCCACGGAGCAGCAGUGCCAGGCGGGGACGCGGCACUGCUUGCCCACAGCUGACAGCACUGCCUGCGACUGGGAGGUGUGGGGCAGCUCCUGGGCACAGCCCCAAAUUGGGGGUUCACGCUGGGCUCUGUAGUGCACAGGCAGUGAUGUCCCAGGGACAGUGAAGUAGUGCUACCAACCCUGGGGCAAGAUCAGAGUUGGUUCUUGGGUCUCCUCUGCAAGUUAAGAUGGGGGAGGAGAAAAGCAUAAUUUUUGGGGCUUCAGCAGGUUGAUGGUUGGGUCUUGGAACCCCUCUCCAUGUCAAGAAGAGGAUGAGCUUUUGUGAGGCUUUAGUAGAUUGCUAGUUAGGUCUUGGGUCCCCUCCCAAAGUCAGCAUGGAGGGAAAGAAGAGAUGAGCAUCCUUCAUGGGGCUUCAGCACAUUUCUGGGCUGCUCUUCAGGCUUUGGGUGCCCAGUGGGCUGAGACCCAUUGUCUUGGCUUAUGUAAACCAAUGCAGGCUUAAGGAGAGGAAACAAGGAGCCAGAUUUUGAAUGGCUCCAAAUCCCAGGGUGUUCACAUCUGAGGGUUAGAGCUGGGCCCGUCCUUAAUUAAAAAAAUAAAUUAAGAAUUAAAAGCUUUCCAUUUACAGUGGUUCACUCCAGAGCGGAUGCAUGGAGAAAAGCCCCAAGCCAGUCAAGAGUGCCUGAACAAUGGAACUCUACCAGAGCACCUCCUGCCUCCCACCACAGAAACAGCAUCACCAGGAGAAAAUCUGCCCUUUCUCCACAUUCUUGAAGGACACCCACCCUAAACCUUUUCCAAAAGCCCUCUCAGAAAAGCAAGCCAGGCUUGGUACCCAAGGCAGGGUCUUAAUCCCUGCUCUGCCUUGCUUGUCAUGCUGGAAAUUAAAGUUCUGCUGCAAGUUUAGAGCAGUCCCAGACCACAUAGAUUCCCUGAUGGAUGAUAAGUACAGUUUUAUUUCCAGCAGUAUUUGCUCAGGUGAAUGCAAGAGCCCCAUCCAGCUGCUGGUGAAGCCAAAACCAGCAGGUACCACUAAGUAACUCUGAUAAAUCCCAGUCGAUAGGAGUGGGGAUGCAAAGCCUGGGUUGGGAGGACUCAUCUUGCAUGUCUCCCUUUUUCCUUGAGCCAAGCAAGUCGUGAGCACAGAGGAGGAAAAGGCUGUUGUCAGAGGGAAGUUACAGAUCCGGGAUGGCUGUGCAGUGCCAAUCCAAGCUCUGGAUAUCAGGUGGUGUGAAGGGAUGUCUCUCCUGGGGGGUCUCACACGGACAGCUGGAUGAGGAUACGAUGGCUUGGCCCAAAAUCGCCGCGCCCUCAUUAAUGUUGAAAUCGGCACGUUUUUGUGAGCUCUGUGUGUUUUUAAUCAGGUCUCUGAAACCACUACUCACUGAGCAGUUCCUGUGAAUUAUCGACUUUGGGGUGGUUGUUAUUCUGUUACUGGGUUUUUUUUUGAGCUUCCUUUUAUAUUCUCCCUUUAAAAAAUCGCAGAGAUCCUGAGCACAGCCCUCCGCUCCUUGAGCUCCACGUUAGGUCCACACCACCCUUAUCUCCUGUCAUCUCCAUUUUAUUGUGUGUCUGCCUCUCUCUCACUCUCUCAGCUCUCUGGUUGCAAUGUGCUGUGGCACCGUGAUCUUUUCACACAAAAAAGUAGCUGGUUGGAGUUUGUUUUGGCAGGCAGAGACUCCAGAUGUUGCAUUUGCUGGAUUGUGCAUUGCCUUUUGCUUUGUUUUAGGGGGUGAAUUAUCUUGUGACCCUAAGACUAUGUUGUUCAGAUUUUGCUUUUGCAAUAGGAAAUUUACUGAGUGGUUUUACCCCCCACCCCACUUCUAUUCCCAUUUUCUUAAUUAUAAAAGUUGGCUUUAGUCUUUCAAAUUUGACUAGGGAAAAAAAAAAAAAAUCCCCUUCUCUGUCCUAACUGCAGUUAUAAGGUGAUUUUAGUUAUUGCAAUUGAGACUUAACCAAGGGUGUUUGCUGAUGGGAGAUCUCAUUUAUAAGCAACAAAGGAGGCUGCAGAUGCCUUUUCUUAAAAAAGAAGAAAAAAAGUUGACUGUGGGGGGGUGGUGGUGGUGAAUUCUGAUGAUAGUUUUCAUUCUUUAAAGCUGCCUCUUGCUUGGUUAUAAAUUAUCUGGACUGAGCCUUGUCCUUAACAGUGCACCCAAGAGUUUCACCAUGUUGGAGAUCUGGGUUGCAACACCCUCAGCAGAGCCCCAAGUCCUGCUGGGGCCACACUGAUGUCCUGGAAAAAGGAGGGGGGAUCUGCCUUCAGCUCCAGCCAGGAGUACAGAGGAUGCAACAGCAAGGGAAAGGGAAAUCCAAGUUUUCCUUACUGCCAAGGUGCCCUGUUUCUGCAUGGCACAUGAUCCUCAGUGGCCAGGGGUUAUCUGAAAGCCUCACAGGGAUCUGUAGUGUUUGGGGUCCAGCUUGCUGGUCCCACUCUCCCUUUUUUCCAGUUUUUCCCCCAGAGGGCUGAAUUCUGGUGCCCUGCAGGGAAGCAGAUGAGGGUCGGGACAAGGCUGUGAGGGUGCAUGGCUGGGGGCUCUCCCUGGAGACUGACAUUUGUAGGGGUGCAGAGCUGUGCAUCACAGCCCCCUAAACCUCUGGCCCCAAAGCUGUGGGGCAGAACUUAUUUCCCCAGCAAUCAGCACAACCACAGUCGCUCAGUAUACACAGAGCAGGAUCCAAGGGCGGACAGCACACCCCAAACACCCACGGCAAGGUUCCCCUCGUUGCUUUUGCUUAGCCCCCCGUGCUAGGCAGCAACAUCGCCGUGGCCACGGGAGCUCAGCCCGAGCAGGGAGGGAUGGGUGAGGGAUUUUUUUUCUCUCUCUGCUUCAUCCUCCCCCCGUCCCGGCUCUUCUGGCAGUCGCAGACUCCAGAUGUUCGGAGCGCGAGCUGGGAAGUCCUGCUGGCGCCACUUGGGGCAGAGGGCAGGGGAAAGGCACGCGAGCUGGAACCCGGAGUACUCAGUCACUGCAGGACUUGGCGCAUUCCCCAGCUCGCUGCUGGCACAUUCCCCAGCUCUCUCCUGGCCAUCUGUUCCAAAAAAACACUUUCAGAACCUCAUCAUCACUCAGGAUACAACACUGCGAGCAGCUGUUAGCGAGGCAGAAGGGGGAAAAAAAAAAGAAAAAAAAAAAAAAACACACUCACACAUUAAAAAAAAAAAAAAAACAUGCGAAAGGUCUCUUUGUGAGAGAGGAAACUGGGUUAUGAAUAACAGGCGAGCAGUUGGAGCUCAAUAAAAGUUUUCGGCUGGAAUUUAGUUUCUUGUUUUUUGUGCCUGUGUGUGUGGAUGAGCACAGACACAAGGAAUUAAAAAUUAAAAAUACGCUGUACAUAUAUCUUUUCCCAGAUAAUUAAAUUAUAUAGAAACAUAUAUGGAAUGAAAAGCUUUUCUGUUUCUUGCAGCCUGCUGCACUAAAAGGGCUGACACUAUGUAUGUAAUUAUUGCAUUAUAUAAAAUAGUUAUUGUGGUGUUGUGCCAUGCCUUGAUGCCCCCUUAUUUCUACUUUGCUAAAAGCAGAGCUCCUGCUGUAGGUAACACUUAUUCCCACUGAAAAAAUUGGAAGGAGGGCGUUCUGCAGCCGUAUUUACUUGCAGGAGUGAACAAGUUAAGGGUUUAUAUUAUAAAAGAGAAAUGGUAGUGGCAGACUUGAUUUGUACAGCACUGAAACCAUUUGCUUGGAGCAUAUUUUUUUGAUAACACCGUAUCAUGACUCGUGAUUUAUUUAGACAAAGCCCCGAGAUAAAGCCACAGCUGCCACCCCCUGGUUUGUGUGGAUGAUCCUGGCUGCAGGGUCUUGCUGUUAUUGAUCAUCUGAUAUUGAUUAUCAGAACCAUUCAGAGCCAACACAGUAAAACCUUGAUGAUCCGCAUGGCAUUUCUUCCUCGUGGCUUCCCAUCCUGUGUGGGGAGGAGGGGGGUCUCAUAAUGAGAUUCGACCUCCCUUUCCCCUGCAGUUUGACUUAGCAGAGGUUCCUCUUUAAAAAUAGCUUCAUUUCCCUGCUAGGACUUGCCGGCGAGAGCGGGCAGCCAGCCAGUCUGAUCCCCACGGCCGCCAGCUCCGCGGGCUCCAGGGAGGAGCUGGACCACAGGAGAGCAGCGAGCUGCCUGUCCAUCUGUCCAUCUGCCAUGGGACAGCAUCCCUGGGGGGACAGAGGGGACCUGGGUCUGCCUGGCCAUGAGUUAUCCCUGCUGCAUGCUGGUUGAAGGAUUACCCACCCCAGGGACCUGGUUAAAAACAAGGCAGUGAGAUUAAUUUGCUUAUCACUUGUGUCUUGUAUGUCCCUGCAGCCCAAAACAAGGCUUGCAGGUGGGGCACGGGUCCUAAGGUUUGUGACAAGUUCAUGGGCAAGAUCACCCAACUCUGGAGAGGGAGGCAGCAGCAGCUACCCCAGGGGCAUCCCCAAAGGCACUGCACACCCUCCAUCAGCCCACUGGGGCACUGAGCAUCAGUACCCCAAAGAGCAGGGCCCAAAGCUUUUCCUUACAAAAGGAUGUGAUGUGGGACUCCCCCGUUGCAUCACAGCACCCCAAAAACCCCUUUCCUUUAAAGGGUGUUGGAACAGCCACAUCACAACACAGGGAUGGGACCAGGGAUUUGCUCCCAUGGUGGGAGCAGGAUCCCAGCAUAGGGUCCAUCCCCUUUGGAGCAAGGGUGUUGCCAAGAAUAGGGUAAGAUCCACCCCACACAUAUUGGGUAACUGCAGCAAGAGGAAGAUGUGAGUAGAAGAGACAGGAGAAGCCCUGGAACAAAGGCUGACUCAAUUCCAGAAGUGCUUUGAUUUAUGGAGAUUGAAAUGCUCCAGGAUGCUGCAAACUCACCAAGGUCAUUGGGCCAGUUGUCAAAUUCAAGAGCCAUGGGAGUUCUGAUGUUAUUAGUUUAAAGCAGACCCAGGCUCAUAAAUCUGUCUUCAGAGCUCCUGGCUGAGUGAAAAAGGGUGGAGGGGGAAACAAAAGCCACCAAACAUAACCCAUGGCCAAGCAUUGGGAAGUGCCUGGGGACCGAUCAAAUGGUGCCAGUGAGGUGUGCUGAGCAUCUCCAUUGUGUUGCAGGGGGAUCUCCCCAUUCCCCUUUCCAUCUCCUGUGUCUGGAAGGUACAGCACAAAUGCCCUUGCCUGGUUUGUGCAUAUUCCCUCUUGGCCCCCAUGGUUGAUCUUCCCCAAUUGCAGAGACUUCAGAGCAGAGAUCUGGCCCUGAGACUCCUCUUCCUAAAGCCAUCCUGCCUUCCCAAACCCACAAAUGCUUUUGAUCUCUCUGCUGUCUUUUAAAAUUAAUGAGAGCAGUCAUCGCUUCCCUUCUUUUACAUUUUCUUUCCAUAGGUAAAUGUGGGAUAAAUUAAAACAACCAACUUUUCUACUACAGGUUAUUUAUAUAUAUUAUAUACUGUUGAAGGGUCCCAACAGAAAAGUUGGCAAUACACAAGGCUGUUUGUCAUUCUCCCACCUGAACCUCAUUUAUUCAAAAUCCCAAAUAAGGCCUUGAACUAGAGCAAGUUUUUCUAUUUUCUCUGAGCAGCACUAGGUAGGAUUGUCCAGAGACAACCCCAGAGGUCCAGCAGACACCAGCAUUUAUUGCAUGGAGGAUGACCUGGGUGCUUUUAGUGAAGUAUUCUUAUCAAGAGAAACCUUGAUGGUCCUGGAGCCGUCCUGAGCUUCCCUGGUCUGCACUUGAAUGGAGGGGGUGAAAAGGUGGAUUUUAGGUUCCCCUGUCCCUUAGCCUGUCAUGGAUGAUCAGCUGUAAUCAUUGAUCUCACAGCAGCUGCCCUAAUGAUAGUCAUAAAUCAAAUAAA
Taeniopygia guttata (zebra finch) is the source of this 6635-nucleotide non-coding RNA. The record is from RefSeq and is a predicted model, not a curated record. Lineage: Eukaryota; Metazoa; Chordata; Aves; Passeriformes; Estrildidae.